This 1058-nucleotide long non-coding RNA is filed under the name Fukomys damarensis (Damara mole-rat). Its description in RNAcentral is "lncRNA (ENSFDAG00000033206.1)". The record is from RNAcentral. Lineage: Eukaryota; Metazoa; Chordata; Mammalia; Rodentia; Bathyergidae.
CCUGCACUGGCCUUGCCUAGAAGGAGCAAGUGUGACCUCACAGGAGUGGGUGAGCUUUGGAACCUUCAAAUCAGGGCUCCACUGGGCCCAUCCUCCCAUGAUUUAAGCCCCGAUCUCCUCAUCUGUGAAUUGGGACUCUUAAAUGUAAAUGAUCUCAUUGGGUGGUUGGGAGGAUUGGAUGGGACCAUAAACACUGCUGAGCAUGUUGUCCAAGAGGCAGCCUUCCAGAAAAGGUCCAUUUGGGCGUACCCUCCUGUACUUAGUGGACUGCCACCAGAAGUCUGGGGACCGAAAUCCGACAUUACCAUACCCAUUCCACGUCUGGCAGGCUAAAGAACGUUGAAGAUGGAUUUGAAAUUGAAGCCUCAACCCUUUUUGAAACUGGGUCUCUCUAAUUUGCUAAAUUGCAUAGGCUGGGAUUGAAGUUGUGAUCAUUUUGGCUUAGCCUCCCAGAGUUCUGGGAUUAUAAGCAGGCACCAUAAUAUCUAGUUUCUUCUCUAGAAUUCUUAGGGAAGUUUGUACAAAGAUCAACAGGCAAAUGGGAAGUCAGUUUUGUCAUUUUACAAAAUAAAGUGUUUCCCAUACCCCAAGGCAGAGUGGGAGUGCUGGUAACAACUCACCUAAAGAAUAAGUGAGGGGUCUGGUCUUAGUUACUUUCUCCCUUGCUGGGACAAAAUAUCUGAUACGUACAGCUCGAGGAAGGAGAAUGUUAUUUUUGACUCACAGUUUGUAGAGGUUCUAAUCCAUAGCUGGCUGGUUCCAGGACAGAGCAGGAGGGCAGAGGGACAAGGCAGAGGAGAAACAGCUCAUGGCAUGGUGGCAGGAAACAGAGAGAGAAAUCAAGGGAGGAGAGAGGGAGAGAGACCAUGUGCCUGACAACCCAUCUCCUCCUACCAGGCUCUACCUCUCAGCAUGACAUUUAGCCCUAAACGCAUCAGUGGACUUACCCAUUGAUGAGCAUUGUACCACCACGAUCCCAUCAACUCCCAGUGACGAUGUAGAUAUGAUGAGUGUAUGAAGCCUCGGGGUGGGCAUCUAGAUCUAAAUUACAACUGGCC